This 468-nucleotide ribosomal RNA is filed under the name uncultured bacterium. RNAcentral's name for it is "partial 16S ribosomal RNA". It matches the Rfam family "Bacterial small subunit ribosomal RNA", at positions 28 to 507 of the family's 1533-position model. The record is from RNAcentral.
GACGAACGCUGGCGGCGUGCUUAACACAUGCAAGUCGAACGGAAAGGCCCUGCUUUUGUGGGGUGCUCGAGUGGCGAACGGGUGAGUAACACGUGAGUAACCUGCCCUUGACUUUGGGAUAACUUCAGGAAACUGGGGCUAAUACCGGAUAGGAGCUCCUGCUGCAUGGUGGGGGUUGGAAAGUUUCGGCGGUUGGGGAUGGACUCGCGGCUUAUCAGCUUGUUGGUGGGGUAGUGGCUUACCAAGGCUUUGACGGGUAGCCGGCCUGAGAGGGUGACCGGCCACAUUGGGACUGAGAUACGGCCCAGACUCCUACGGGAGGCAGCAGUGGGGACUAUUGCACAAUGGGCGGAAGCCUGAUGCAGCAACGCCGCGUGCGUGAUGACGGCCUUCGGGUUGUAAACCGCUUUCGCCUGUGACGAAGCGUGAGUGACGGUAAUGGGUAAAGAAGCACCGGCUAACUACGUG